UAUAAAGCAGAUGCAGAGGGGUGGGCCUGUACUCAGGUCCCAGUGGCAGUCCUUGGGCCUGAAUUUUUCUCUGUCCAGGAUUCUUGCCUCCAAACCACCGUACCUGGUCGGCUGUGCACCUUUGGGAACCUUACAGUGCGUUUUGUGGGGACCAAGGUCCCAGAGCCCACCUGCCCGCUAGCUACCCCUUGCACUUCCAGGUUCCGCUUUGAUUAUACCAAUGAGAGGGCCCUGCGGCGCACUCUGCAGGAGGACCUGGUGAAGGACGUGCUGAGCAACGCGCACAUCCAGAACGAGUUGGAGCGGGAAUUUGAGCGGAUGCGGGAGGAUCGGGAGGUGCUCAGGGUCAUCUUCCCAACUGGAGACAGCAAGGUUGUCCUCCCCUGUAACCUGCUGCGGAUGAUCUGGAAUGCUCAGAAAAUCUUCCACAUCAACCCACGCCUUCCCUCCGACCUGCACCCAAUCAAAGUGGUGGAGGGAGUCAAGGAAUUGAGCAAGAAGCUGGUGAUUGUGAAUGGGGAUGACCCACUAAGUCGACAGGCCCAGGA
Molecule: small RNA, 548 nt
Filed under: Pongo abelii (Sumatran orangutan)
Lineage: Eukaryota; Metazoa; Chordata; Mammalia; Primates; Hominidae
Description: retained intron
Source: RNAcentral